GUACACUCCUGCGGGAGGCAGCAGUGGGGAAUUUUGGACAAUGGGCGAAAGCCUGAUCCAGCCAUGCCGCGUGCAGGAUGAAGGCCUUCGGGUUGUAAACUGCUUUUGUACGGAACGAAACGGCCUUUUCUAAUAAAGAGGGCUAAUGACGGUACCGUAAGAAUAAGCACCGGCUAACUACGUGCCAGCAGCCGCGGUAAUACGUAGGGUGCAAGCGUUAAUCGGAAUUACUGGGCGUAAAGCGUGCGCAGGCGGUUAUGUAAGACAGUUGUGAAAUCCCCGGGCUCAACCUGGGAACUGCAUCUGUGACUGCAUAGCUAGAGUACGGUAGAGGGGGAUGGAAUUCCGCGUGUAGCAGUGAAAUGCGUAGAUAUGCGGAGGAACACCGAUGGCGAAGGCAAUCCCCUGGACCUGUACUGACGCUCAUGCACGAAAGCGUGGGGAGCAAACAGGAUUAGAAACCCUAGUAGUCCCAUGAU
Molecule: ribosomal RNA, 479 nt
Filed under: uncultured organism
Description: partial 16S ribosomal RNA
Rfam family: Bacterial small subunit ribosomal RNA
Source: RNAcentral